Molecule: ribosomal RNA, 489 nt
Filed under: uncultured bacterium
Lineage: Bacteria
Description: partial 16S ribosomal RNA
Rfam family: Bacterial small subunit ribosomal RNA
Source: RNAcentral
AUUGAACGCUGGCGGCAGGCCUAACACAUGCAGGUCGAACGGUAACAGGAAGAAGCUUGCUUCUUUGCUGACGAGUGGCGGACGGGUGAGUAAUGUCUGGGAAACUGCCUGAUGGAGGGGGAUAACUACUGGAAACGGUAGCUAAUACCGCAUAACGUCGCAAGACCAAAGAGGGGGACCUUCGGGCCUCUUGCCAUCGGAUGUGCCCAGAUGGGAUUAGCUAGUAGGUGGGGUAACGGCUCACCUAGGCGACGAUCCCUAGCUGGUCUGAGAGGAUGACCAGCCACACUGGAACUGAGAAACGGUCAGACUCCUACGGGAGGCAGCAGUGGGGAAUAUUGCACAAUGGGCGCAAGCCUGAUGCAGCCAUGCCGCGUGUAUGAAGAAGGCCUUCGGGUUGUAAAGUACUUUCAGCGGGGAGGAAGGGAGUAAAGUUAAUACCUUUGCUCAUUGACGUUACCCGCAGAAGAAGCACCGGCUAACUCCGUG